This is a long non-coding RNA of Mustela erminea (ermine), 1091 nucleotides long. RefSeq lists it as uncharacterized. NCBI's taxonomy places the organism in Eukaryota, Metazoa, Chordata, Mammalia, Carnivora, Mustelidae. The record is from RefSeq and is a predicted model, not a curated record. The transcript has 3 exons.
GUUAUUUGCUCUUCCUGUCAAUAAGAUGAUCAUUAACUACAGUCAUGGAAGUGUGGAUGGAUGAUGGAAGAGUCCAAAAGAAGGCAGCAUGAUUUUCCAAAUGCAGGCAGCGGAUGUGACUGUGUCUUUAGAUAGCCCUGGCACUCUGCCCUGGAAUCCAUAGAACCCUAAAAGGGGAGUGUGGCAGAAACUCACUCCUCAGCAACUCCCUGUACUUAACUUCAACAGAGGGGCGCUCUCCCUUUGAAUACCAAAAAAGGAUAGCACAGAGGGGCAGCUGCCACUGUGAGGGGUUCUGCGGGACUCAGUUUGAGCCUCUCCUUCCUUUGGAUUCUAGCUUCAGAGGAGUAAGGCAGUUCCCUGUUGUUAGGAAAACUUUGCUUCAUAGCACUCAAGUCUACAGGGGAGCAGGGGAAGGAUGUGAAGACUGUGGUAACAGGAAGAAGUUCACUGAUCCGCAGUGCGCUCUGUCCAUGAAGGGAGCAGUCAACAACAAAGCGCUUUCUUCAGCCAUGAAGGUUUUUGUCUAAAAAGUGUUCAAUUCCAACUAGACCCAUGAAUCAAGAAGGUCUGAACUGUGAAUGCUACCAUUUCCUGCUUAGGACAGCUCACCCAGCCCUCCAGAGCUCUUACCCCUCUAACUGUGGACUACCCAUGAGGGCAGUGCCAUCCAGCUGAUGACCCACACAAACAUGGUCAGACUGAAAAGGAAUUACCCUGAGGCUCAAUCUGGAUAGAGAUUCACUAGACCCAGCAAAGUUACUAACUGUUGAGAUAAGCCACUCGAUCUAUCAAGGGAAGAAUAAGAGAACCGGGGAUUAAGAAAGUUUUAUCUCCCAGGAAAAAUGUAAUAGCUGAGAACUGAAGAAUAUAUGGAAAACAUCAGAGAAUGACCUAUUGUGCUCUCUUCUUGUGUAAAGAUGUGGAGACAGUAAAUAACACGGAUUGUUCAUAAAUGAAGACAGAGGACAUUGCUCAUCAAACCUGUAGGCAAGAAAAGCUUUGAGGAAAACACAUGUGUUUCAUAAUAGAAUUCUCCACCCAGUGACCACAGGACAUUGAACAAUGGAUCCAAUCUUACAAUAAAAUUG